This 253-nucleotide ribosomal RNA is filed under the name uncultured bacterium. RNAcentral describes it as "partial 16S ribosomal RNA". It matches the Rfam family "Bacterial small subunit ribosomal RNA", at positions 524 to 776 of the family's 1533-position model. The record is from RNAcentral.
UACGUAGGGUGCAAGCGUUGUCCGGAAUUAUUGGGCGUAAAGAGCUCGUAGGCGGUUUGUCGCGUCUGCUGUGAAAACUCGGGGCUUAACUCCGGGCCUGCAGUGGGUACGGGCAGACUAGAGUGCGGUAGGGGAGACUGGAAUUCCUGGUGUAGCGGUGAGAUGCGCAGAUAUCAGGAGGAACACCGGUGGUGUAAACGGCUUUCUGGACCAUAACUGACGCUGAGGCACGAAAGCGUGGGUAGCAAACAGG